Molecule: long non-coding RNA, 1002 nt
Filed under: Macaca mulatta (Rhesus monkey)
Lineage: Eukaryota; Metazoa; Chordata; Mammalia; Primates; Cercopithecidae
Description: lncRNA (ENSMMUG00000055854.1)
Source: RNAcentral
UGAAUUUACAUUUUUUCUAUACAUCUAUUUUGGUGUCUGUCGAUCAACUCUUUUUAACUUUUUUAUUAAAUAAUUUUAGACCUACAGAUUUUCUAUAAACACUUAUUCUAGCUUUACUCAUGUUAAAAUUAAUCACAGUAUGAAUAUUAAUACAUCCCGGGAGGCAGAGACAGCAGUGAGCCAAGAUCGUGCCAUUGCACUCCAGCCUGGCGGUGGAGGGAGACUCCGUCUCAAAGAAAAGAAAAAAAAGAAAAGAGAUGAUGGAUCUAUGCUGACUUGCCAGAUAUUUGGCUUAAGAAUCUCAAAAUCUGCAAAACGGCUCAGCUCUUGGACAUCACUAAGAAGAAGGAGAAGUCAGUACACUUCCUUUAACCUAUUCUCCUUGAGAGAUGUGUGUGUGUGUUUGUGCAUCCAUGUGUGAGUGUGUGUAUGUGCCUGUGUGUCUGGUACAUGUCUCUGUGAUUGUGCACCUACUGGUUCUUCUAUAUUUUUUACAAAACUAGAGAUUGUAUUUUAUAACUAACCAAUCCACAGACAAUGGGUGACAGUUUAUCACAUAGGAAGUUCGAUUUUCAGAAUCACAAUUUGAAAUUUGAAAGGAUUCAAAUUAUACCAAAGUAGCAUAAAAAUAUUUUUAUCUGAAGACAUUUGAGAUUCAGCAAAUGCAGAAAGAAGCUUUAUUAGAGCUUUUCUUAUACUGAAGGCAGAGACUUCUGAGAAUGAAACCUCCAUAAAUUGCAGGAGGAUUUUCUGCCUGGAAGAAGAAAGGGAACACAGGAAUCUGCAUAAAACAAACAAUAUCGGAAACAUUGUGUCCUAUUUGUUCUGUUAAAAGUUCAUUUGUUCUUCCCAUAGAAACCUUUCUCAUCCUUUGCUUUCGUGUGGCAAAUUAGGUGUAUAAACCCUGGUCUCUAAUUAUUGAGCCAGUUCUUUUGUGUGCCCCCAUAUAUGUAUGAAUAAACUUUGCCUCUUCUCUUAUAAAUCAUUCCUCUGUCAUAGUAU